UACGGAGGGUGCGAACGUUAAUCGGAAUCACUGGGCGUAAAGCGCGCGUAGGCGGUUUGUUAAGUGGGAUGUGAAAUCCCCGGGCUUAACCUGGGAAUUGCAUUUCAAACUGGCCGACUAGAGUACGGUAGAGGGAGGUAGAAUUUCCUGUGUAGCGGUGAAAUGCGUAGAUAUAGGAAGGAACAUCAGUGGCGAAAGCGACUUCCUGGACCAGUACCGACGUUCAGGCACGAAAGCGUGGGGAGCAAACAGG
This 253-nucleotide ribosomal RNA is filed under the name uncultured bacterium. RNAcentral's name for it is "partial 16S ribosomal RNA". It matches the Rfam family "Bacterial small subunit ribosomal RNA", at positions 524 to 776 of the family's 1533-position model. The record is from RNAcentral.